GCGGGUGUAGUUUAAUGGUAAAACUCUAGCCUUCCAAGCUAAUGUCGUGGGUUCGAUUCCCAUCACCCGCU
This 71-nucleotide transfer RNA is filed under the name Ornithinibacillus halotolerans. It matches the Rfam family "tRNA". Rfam says of the family: Transfer RNA (tRNA) molecules are approximately 80 nucleotides in length. Their secondary structure includes four short double-helical elements and three loops (D, anti-codon, and T loops). The record is from Rfam by way of RNAcentral. Lineage: Bacteria; Bacillati; Bacillota; Bacilli; Caryophanales; Bacillaceae. RNAcentral also lists the same sequence under 1 other name.